RNAcentral lists this long non-coding RNA (1497 nucleotides) under Sus scrofa (pig). RNAcentral's name for it is "lncRNA (ENSSSCG00035003722.1)". Lineage: Eukaryota; Metazoa; Chordata; Mammalia; Artiodactyla; Suidae. The record is from RNAcentral.
UGACAACCUGGUCCAGUGUAAGAUUCAAUAUUCUUCUGGCAUUUUACAUCCAUACAAGGAGAGAAAAUUAAAUCUAUUAACCCUUCCAAUCAUUUGGAUCAUGAAUAGCAUAGACAACAUCAAUCAGGAAAUCAGGUACCUUGACAAUUUAAUGACCUAAAAAUAUGUGAUUAACUUAUUUACAUUUAAUCAGUUAUUAUUCAUUUGCCAUGUUUUUUAAGCCUUCUCAUCCUAAAUGAGACGGCCAGAACACUUAUCUCCUGCUGCAUUUAGCUCCCAGAACUUUCAAAUAGACACUGGGGGGAACUCAGUACAGAAAGACAAAAGAAAUAUGCUUAGAAAGAGAUCCAACAAAAAUGAGAUCGUCAUGACAUUAAGGGGUGGAUGGCUCAGUGUUUUGGGAUGUCCACAGUUAAGUCAUCACAUGUCACAUCAGUGUAUCUAGCAAAAGUUGUCUUGUAACUUCUGCCAUCUGAGUAUGUAUCAACUGGAAGCUUUAAUGACAUUACCAGGAUGAGGGACUCCAGCCCUUGACCUAAUUUUCACCGAGCUCUCAGAACCACUGCUCUGAUCUUUGCUAAUUUAUUCAGAGAAUAUCUCUUAAUGGAGUUAGUGAUUCCGUCAGCCUUUGGGAUGGAGACCUUAGAAAUGUAGGAUUAAGGUGCCUGGAGGAGGUCGACUGUAGUCAUGGAGAACAAGGAGCCCAGCACUAUAGUCAUGGAGAACAAGGAGCCCAGCAGCCCACAAUCCAAAUGAACCACAGAAGCUGUGAAAGCUGGGUACCCACCUCUUGCUCUUUGGUCUCCUCCUGGCUUUCUGGAUCUCCCUGUUCCCCCUUGCUCUUUUGUUGCUCAUUAACUCCAGAUUAUAUCUCCUUCUUUUCUCUCCCUAGCUUUUCUUUCUUUCACCCCAGUUUCUUUUUUCCUUCUCAUGAGCCAAUGAUCCUUUUUCAGAAAAAAAGAAAGACAAUACUUUUGCUUUUUCCUGAUUUAUGGAAAUGUAGGUCAGGGGAAAAGGUUAAAAAAGGUAAUAUCUGCUUUGUAUCUGGGAAAAAGAUAAUUUGGGAAUGUCCUGUGUUUACUUUCCAAACUUCUAUGGAGCUACAAUUGUUAUCACAUGGGCUUUCUGUGGUUGGUUGAAGCUGGGGAUGCAAAACCACAGAUAUGGAGGAAUUGAUUAUAAAUUGUAAGUGGAAUUUUGACUCUGAGGAAGGUGCUUCCCCUAACCCAUGCAUUGUUCAAGGGCCAAAUGUAUUUUACUUUAGAAAGAGCUCUCUUGCCUCUUUUUUCUUUGUUUGUUUUUUGUUUUGCUUUGUUUUUAGGGCCACACCUACGGCAUAUGGAAAUUCCCAGGCUAGGGGUCAAAUCGGAGCUACCUCCGCCGGCCUACACCACAGCCACAGCAACAUGGGAUCUGAGCCACAUCUGUGCCUACACCACAGCUCACAGCAAUACCAGAUCCUUAACCCACUUAGUGAGGCCAGGGAUUGAACCCGCA